This 757-nucleotide ribosomal RNA is filed under the name bacterium FWP1. Its description in RNAcentral is "bacterial SSU rRNA". It matches the Rfam family "Bacterial small subunit ribosomal RNA", at positions 50 to 797 of the family's 1533-position model. The record is from RNAcentral.
AACCCCAAUGCCAACGUCCGAGCUGGCAGCACGGGUACUUGUACCUGGUGGCGAGCGGCGGAGGGAGAGUAAUGCCUAGGAAUCUGCCUGGUAGUGGGGGAUAACGCUCGGAAACGGACGCUAAUACCGCAUACGUCCUACGGGAGAAAGCAGGGGACCUUCGGGCCUUGCGCUAUCAGAUGAGCCUAGGUCGGAUUAGCUAGUUGGUGAGGUAAUGGCUCACCAAGGCGACGAUCCGUAACUGGUCUGAGAGGAUGAUCAGUCACACUGGAACUGAGACACGGUCCAGACUCCUACGGGAGGCAGCAGUGGGGAAUAUUGGACAAUGGGCGAAAGCCUGAUCCAGCCAUGCCGCGUGUGUGAAGAAGGUCUUCGGAUUGUAAAGCACUUUAACUUGGGAGGAAGGUCAGUUACCUAAUACGUAAUUGUUUUGACGUUACCGACAGAAUAAGCACCGGCUAACUCUGUGCCAGCAGCCGCGGUAAUACAGAGGGUGCAAGCGUUAAUCGGAAUUACUGGGCGUAAAGCGCGCGUAGGUGGUUCGUUAAGUUGGAUGUGAAAUCCCCGGGCUCAACCUGGGAACUGCAUUCCAAACUGACGAGCUAGAGUAUGGUAGAGGGUGGUGGAAUUUCCUGUGUAGCGGUGAAAUGCGUACACUAGGAAGGAACACCAGUGGCGAAGGCGACUACCUGUACUGAUACUGUCAUUGAGGUGCGAAUGCCUGCGGAGCAACUAUGAUUACAUACCCUGCCACCCA